RNAcentral lists this ribosomal RNA (429 nucleotides) under Bacteroidota bacterium. Its description in RNAcentral is "Bacteroidetes bacterium partial 16S ribosomal RNA". It matches the Rfam family "Bacterial small subunit ribosomal RNA", at positions 355 to 776 of the family's 1533-position model. The record is from RNAcentral. Lineage: Bacteria; Pseudomonadati; Bacteroidota.
UAGGGAAUCUUCCGCAAUGGACGCAAGUCUGACGGAGCAACGCCGCGUGAGUGAAGAAGGAUUUCGGUUCGUAAAACUCUGUUGUUAGAGAAGAACAGCGCAUAGAGUAACUGUUAUGCGUGUGACGGUAUCUAACCAGAAAGCCACGGCUAACUACGUGCCAGCAGCCGCGGUAAUACGUAGGUGGCAAGCGUUGUCCGGAUUUAUUGGGCGUAAAGCGAGCGCAGGCGGUCAAUUAAGUCUGAUGUGAAAGCCCCCGGCUCAACCGGGGAGGGUCAUUGGAAACUGGUUGACUUGAGUGCAGAAGAGGAGAGUGGAAUUCCAUGAGUAGCGGUGAAAUGCGUAGAUAUAUGGAGGAACACCAGUGGCGAAGGCGACUCUCUGGUCUGUAACUGACGCUGAGGCUCGAAAGCGUGGGUAGCAAACAGG